Long non-coding RNA from Oncorhynchus nerka (sockeye salmon), 947 nucleotides. RefSeq lists it as uncharacterized. The transcript has 3 exons. The record is from RefSeq and is a predicted model, not a curated record. Lineage: Eukaryota; Metazoa; Chordata; Actinopteri; Salmoniformes; Salmonidae.
AGCUGGGAGAGAAGAUAAGUUGUUGAAAAUGCUAUCAUAAAAUCCUCUGCAACGUGUGGGGACAUAUUGAUAACGUAGACUUAAGGGUGAUGCCUUUCAGUGCCCAGUCCAGGCCCUUGCGGUACUGCAGUCCAUAGUCUUGGAACUCUAUAGUGCCAGUCUGAGGCCAGGCCAGAGGCAGGGAACUGCCCUCCACGGUCCACACAGCCUGGCUUUAUUUUUAAAAAAUCUGAAAACGGAACAAUGUACACCAGUCACCACAUAAACUGGAUAUUUUAUUUUACCAGAGCAUGUACUGCAAGGUGAAUGUGUUGUUUCUAUCAAACCUAACCUGGUGGCCACAAAGCGGGGAAAGUAGGAGGUCUGGUUGAAGUCGACCCUCUUGUUAGCCUGCACAAUGAAGCGGUGCUGUUCUCCGAAGGCCCGUAUGACACUGGCUCCCUGCACCGUCUCGUUGAAGUGGGUGUAGAUGGGCGAGCGGCUCACCGACUCCAGCCUCCGCAGCUGGCAGGAAGUGGCCACGUAGAAACUCUGUAUAAAAAUAAAACAUUACGUUUUAAUGAACCGAAAGUACCAUAUACACAUGGUGUAUAUGUGUGGAAGUGGGUUUUUCACUCCAGCAUUUCUAGUAGAUUUACAGUAUGUAGCCUGCCAUUACUUAGCACUACUAUGUUAGCAGGUGGAAUAAAUCACCAUGCAAAACCAACAACUUGCAAAAUCUGCUAUUUUGGUUUUCAAGAGUCUAAAACUAUUAUUCUCCCACAAAACGGUGUCUCAGUUGGUUAGAAACAUACCUGAACGAAGGCAUAGAGAAUGGCGAGGGGCAGGAUGACGACCGCCGCAAAAGGUGUAGCCAGCAUGACGAUGAUACAGACUUCCAUCAGCUUGAAGAGGUAGCCCAGCAUCAUCUUGAGGCCGUCGGGGAUCAUGCAGUCGAUAGCGUCGAU